UACGUAGGUGGCAAGCGUUAUCCGGAUUUACUGGGUGUAAAGGGCGUGUAGGCGGUCUCGCAAGUCGGAUGUGAAAUUCCCGGGCUUAACCCGGGCGCUGCAACCGAAACUGUGAGACUUGAGUACUGGAGAGGAUAGUGGAAUUCCUAGUGUAGCGGUAAAAUGCGUAGAUAUUAGGAGGAACACCGGUGGCGAAGGCGACUAUCUGGACAGUAACUGACGCUGAGGCGCGAAAGCGUGGGGAGCAAACAGG
Molecule: ribosomal RNA, 253 nt
Filed under: uncultured bacterium
Lineage: Bacteria
Description: partial 16S ribosomal RNA
Rfam family: Bacterial small subunit ribosomal RNA
Source: RNAcentral